GAUAAACGCUGGCGGCGUGCAUAACACAUGCAAGUCGAACGAAGUGGCGAACGGGUGAGUAACACGUGAGUAACCUGCCUUACACAAGGGGAUAGCCUUUGGAAACGAAGAAUAAUACACUAUAGUGUAAGAUGGACUUGCGUCUGAUUAGCGAGUUGGUGAGAUAAAAGACCACUAAGGCGACGAUCAGUAGCCGGCUUGAGGUAGUGGACGGCCACAUUGUGACUGAGACACGGCCCAAACGCGACGGGAGGGAGCAGUGGGGAAUUUUGCACAAUGGGGGAAACCCUGAUGCAGCGACGCCGCGUGAUGUAGAAGGCCUUCGGGUUGUAAAAAUCUUUUUUAUGGGAUGCAGUACCAUAAGAAUAAGGUCCGGCUAAAUACGUGCCAGCAGCCGCGGUAAUUC
This 406-nucleotide ribosomal RNA is filed under the name uncultured bacterium. RNAcentral's name for it is "partial 16S ribosomal RNA". It matches the Rfam family "Bacterial small subunit ribosomal RNA", at positions 28 to 526 of the family's 1533-position model. The record is from RNAcentral.